RNAcentral lists this ribosomal RNA (354 nucleotides) under uncultured Pseudomonadota bacterium. RNAcentral's name for it is "bacterial SSU rRNA". It matches the Rfam family "Bacterial small subunit ribosomal RNA", at positions 1 to 365 of the family's 1533-position model. The record is from RNAcentral. Lineage: Bacteria; Pseudomonadati; Pseudomonadota.
UAGUGAGUUGAUCCUGGCUCAGAUUGAACGCUGGCGGCAUGCUUUACACAUGCAAGUCGAACGGCAGCGCGGGGCAACCUGGCGGCGAGUGGCGAACGGGUGAGUAAUAUAUCGGAACGUACCCAAGAGUGGGGAUAACGUAGCGAAAGUUACGCUAAUACCGCAUACGAUCUAAGGAUGAAAGUGGGGGAUCCGCAAGAACCUCAUGCUCCUGGAGCGGCCGAUAUCUGAUUAGCUAGUUGGUGAGGUAAAGGCUCACCAAGGCCACGAUCAGUAGCUGGUCUGAGAGGAACGGCCCCACAUGGACACUGAGACACGGGUCCAACUCCUACGGGAGCAGCAGUAGGGAAUAUU